AGUGAACGCUGGCGGUAGGCCUAACACAUGCAAGUCGAACGGCAGCACAGUAAGAGCUUGCUCUUACGGGUGGCGAGUGGCGGACGGGUGAGGAAUACAUCGGAAUCUACUUUUUCGUGGGGGAUAACGUAGGGAAACUUACGCUAAUACCGCAUACGACCUACGGGUGAAAGCAGGGGAUCUUCGGACCUUGCGCGAUUGAAUGAGCCGAUGUCGGAUCAGCUAGUUGGCGGGGUAAAGGCCCACCAAGGCGACGAUCCGUAGCUGGUCUGAGAGGAUGAUCAGCCACACUGGAACUGAGACACGGUCCAGACACCUACGGGAGGCAGCAGUGGGGAAUAUUGGACAAUGGGCGCAAGCCUGAUCCAGCCAUACCGCGUGGGUGAAGAAGGCCUUCGGGUUGUAAAGCCCUUUUGUUGGGAAAGAAAAGCAGCAGGUUAAUACCCCGCUGUUCUGACGGUACCCAAAGAAUAAGCACCGGCUAACUUCGUG
Molecule: ribosomal RNA, 492 nt
Filed under: uncultured bacterium
Lineage: Bacteria
Description: partial 16S ribosomal RNA
Rfam family: Bacterial small subunit ribosomal RNA
Source: RNAcentral